UCGAGAAUCUUCGGCAAUGGGCGCAAGCCUGACCGAGCGACACCGCGUGCGGGAUGAAGGCCUUCGGGUUGUAAACCGCUGUCGUAGGGGAGGAAGGGCCUGCGAAGAGCAGGACUUGACCGAUCCUAGGAGGAAGGGCCGGCUAAUCUCGUGCCAGCAGCCGCGGUAAUACGAGAGGCCCAAAACGAUAUUCGGAUUACUGGGCUUAAAGAGUUCGUAGGCGGCUUGGAAAGUGGGGUGUGAAAGCCCUCGGCUCAACCGAGGAAUUGCGCUCCAAACUACCGAGCUUGAGGAAGCUAGAGGUGAGCAGAACUGAUGGUGGAGCGGUGAAAUGCGUUGAUAUCAUCAGGAAUACCGGAGGCGAAGGCGGCUCACUGGGACUUUUCUGACGCUGAGGAACGAAAGCUAGGGGAGCGAAACGGGAUUAGAUACCCCGGUAGUCCUAGCCGUAAACGGUGAAGCACUGGACCGGGGCCUGCACAGGCCCUCGGUCGUAGCGAAAGUGUUAAG
This 510-nucleotide ribosomal RNA is filed under the name uncultured Planctomycetota bacterium. RNAcentral describes it as "bacterial SSU rRNA". It matches the Rfam family "Bacterial small subunit ribosomal RNA", at positions 355 to 864 of the family's 1533-position model. Lineage: Bacteria; Pseudomonadati; Planctomycetota. The record is from RNAcentral.